AGUGGCAUCAAUUCUGUGAUGGUUUUGGUCUUUUCAUGGGAUUUAUUGAUACUAAGAAAAAUGUAGAAUAUUUCUGCCUCAUCCUUUCAGCAACAUUGAUGUUAAAGCAUCAUGUCCCUGAAACUCUACUAAUAUCCUACUACAGACAUUUCAAGCCCCAGAUGAUGAGCAGUGAAACUAAGUGCAGCUCUUCUAAUGAUAAAAAGCCCAAUUUUUUUUAGCACAGAUAUUCACAAACUUUGGUGUUUCCAUUGUUUUGUCCAUGUCCCAGCCCCUUAAAAAGCUCCAGUAGUGUAACCGCAUCUCUCAGAGGAUUCUUUCUGGGAGACCGUGGGCAGUGUUUUUCUUACAUCCCCAUUAAACACUUUAGAAACUUUCGGAAACACUGCCCUCUGCUCCCACUCUGCUCCCUCUCUGCCUACAUCAGCCUGCUCUCCAUGCAGCUCAGACACUCUCAAGCCAAACAUGCCAGUUAGAUCAACGCAGGGAAGGUACAGACAGGGCUGAGGGACCAAAGAGUCCCACCUCCCCCGACUGUAGCUUCCUGUAAAAAUAAAAGCAAGAAGCGGGAACGCAGCGAGAGGACACACAUACAGACAGAAUGAGAGGGUGAAGACAGUGGAUGAGUAAAGUGCCAGUCCAAGCUACUGCAAGAGUGUGUCAAACCAAAGACAGAGGCGUUACCUUGGUGUCAAUACGAAGCAGGAACUGAGCAAGGCCUUUGAUUGGUCCAGGCAGCAGGGCCUCCUCUCGCUCACGUCCGAACUUCUCCAGCACCAUCCACCAUGAGGGACAGGUGGUUUCUCUUGGGAGCCCACGAUGAGGAGUACAACCACAACCACAAAUAUGGGCACUCUCCAGGAGCCGGUCAGAGACACUAAAAACAGACACAGUGAUCAGUGUGGUAACUAUGUAUCUCCUCUCUAUUGUGGAGAAACCUGUUGUUCUUGAACUGGAUGCUGUCUUUAUGACAUUACAGGUUGUCUCCUUGGUGGAAAUGUUGGCAUCUGGGUCACUGCUUGUGUUGUUGGACCAGCUGAUGCUUAGCUCUAAACAUGUUUUGCCAUAAAAUAAAUAAGAGAUAAUAUAGAUCAUUUUGACCAAUCGUCUGGUAACUUUUUUUUUAAUUUGCCCACAACCCCGUCUCACUUCUGCUUAUUCUUCUCUUGAGCAGAACUUCUUCUUAAUAGCUCUCUCUUUUAACAUUUCACGCCUAAAGGUCAACACUUCUUUCCGGGACAUGGCUUGUGUGUGCUAAAAAUACCUAAGGCUUCCUUCAUCUUACUGUGUAACUCUGCAUGUGCUCUUUCUGACAGACUUGUAGAGACAGCUCCCUUGUCUUGUUUAGAAAACUUCAAUCCCUCACUUUUGAAAGAACACUGUGUUUGGCCUCUAGAUUCUCUAAAUCUUGUUUCAAGCUAACUGCUGCACUCAAGUAGACAAAAUUUGAAGAAAUAUUCCCCGGGGGAAUAUUUGUAUGCAAAGAGGGACUUUGCAUACAAGUAUGCAAUGAUAACUAACACGUCUGAGCAGGCUCCCCAGGCUUCCUCUCGUCUCUUCACUCACCAAUGUAGAAGAGCAGGACGGCCCAGACAGGAAGGGCCAGAGCCCUCAGGUAGCGUUCAGUUUGGGGACUCCACUUGAAACAAACGGCCAACAAGUAGCCAAACACCACAGUGCACACCUGAGAAGACACAGAAGAUAACAAAAAACAAAUCCUUUCUUUUACAAAAAUAUCGACGUCCAAAUCAAUGAUUCCAGAAGCUAAGGCUCUGAGUUAUUGUGGGUUUUACAUUUCACAUUUAAAAUAGAGUUUUGUGGCAAUAUUUUGAUGGUUGAUCACUUAAGUCAUUUCUCUACCAAAAGCCACUAAAAAAGCCACUAAACCUUUGAAGAUGGCACCUUGGGUUCAAAAACCAAAGUGCUUGAUUUGUCUGAGCAAUUUUAUCUUGUUGUAGUCGAACGUCAUGAAUAUGAGUUUAACAAGACAAAAAAAAUAUCUUGAUCUUCUUCCCUAAACUGCUGCACAUUUUAAAAACAUUUAAGCACCUUUCAGACCUUGCAGCACACAAUCUGUUGCUGUAAUGCUCUAUAAGCAUGAAAUACGAUGCUCCAGUCUGUAAUCAACAGUUAAGAAAAGGCCUUGGCUGGUUCCACUCCACACAAGAAUAUAUUUCAAGUGUGUCCUCCUUAAUAUUUAUAGACAAGAGCCCUGUGCCAGUCCACUGCUGCAUUUAGAGAAAGGACAGGCUGUCUGAGGAGGAACAUUUUAUGCAAUUUGUAUCUAGUCAAAGCGAGGCUGGGCUCAGGCCCCUGGAGCUGUUUUGGAAUAAUAAGGUAUUGAUCGAUCAAACACUGGAACUGCAGGAAAUUAGAUCAGCUGCUAUACAAAUUUAGGAACAUAUUCCAAGAAAAAAAAAAACUUUCUGCACUGAGGUUAAUUUAAUAAGCCGCUAUUAGAGACGUUCAAGGAAACAGGAUACAAUUUGCAGCUGUAAGUCAGUCUGCAAUGCUUUUAAUCCAGUAUUAUCAUUUAUCAGCUAUCAUUUAAAGUUUCUGGGUUUGUAUUGUGGUGAUAUGUAGGUGAUGAUGCUUUGACAAAGUUUAAUCGCCUACAUUAAUAAUUCUGAGCCAAUAAAAUUUGUUGAAGUUGGGUUGAAAAUAACAAUGAUCAAGUGCAAGUUUUCAUGAUGAAUGAUGAAUAGAUAUUUAAUUUAUUAUCAUACAAGGCCAUGAAAACCAGCAGAUAUUCACACUGGAGAAGUUGGAACCAGUGAAUUUUGGAGAAGUUUUAAAAAAAGGAUUAAUCAGUCAUCAGACUUGUGGCAGAUUAAUCUCCUGUCAAUCACACAAGCAAUAAGUUGUUUUAGCUCUAUCAAUAAGUUUUUAUUAGAUUACAGAAAGCAGUGGGACCUGCUUCUUUGUGCUAAGUCAAUCUGAGAAUCAUAUAUGUGAUUCACAUAUAUGGGGAAAAUAUUUGAUAUGUGAUCUUGAUUUCAGCCAUUAGACCCAGCUCCGGUCUGAGCUGCAGUUUGUGUAGGGUGACCCAGCUGACAGAGCUGACCUCGCCCAACCAAUAGCACCCAUACUGGCUGACACAGAAGACCUUUUGUGUGUGGGUGUGUGUGUAGGUGUGUGUGUGUGUGUGUGUGUGGGUGUGGAGGGGGCGGGGGGCUUUAUAACCAGUUGUCACUGUCCAUUCACUCACCCACACAGUGUGGAAACAGUCCAGCGCGGCCCCGAUGAUCGCACAGACGUGCCCGAGGAUCACCUGCAUGCCGAUGACGCUCCAGAAAAGGUAGAGGAAGUAAACCAGCGGCGCCCCGGCCCCGAUCACUAACAGUACCGUGAGCCUCUCCAGCACCAGCCUGCCCAUCGCUUCCACCCCGUAGUUCACACACCACACCGGGAUCAACAGAGUCCCCACCACGAUGGGCGUUCCGGUGUCCUGCAGGCCGCUGAGCCACGAGCGGCCAAGCCGGGCUAGGGAGUACUUGAAGGGGUGGAGGAAGGUGCCGCAGAGCACUGCCCAGAGAAGCGGGCGCAGAAAGGCCUCCAGGAUGAAGUAGACCAGGACAGAUGCCCCGCAGCAGAUAGCCACAAAGAUCAUAGCCCCCAUGUUGUAAAAGGCCUGUUUGAUGUUUUUGUCAAACUUUAGGGAGGAGGGCUGGGUUAGCAGUUGGCUCACCAUCCCGACGGCCGGCUGGAAGCUCUCGGAGAAAGAGACCGAGUGAGGCCGCCCGGUGUGAGGGCUCUCCGGCGGAGAGACAGCGGCAGGCUCCGGCGCCGAGUCCUCCUCAUCUGCCAUGUUCUCCGAUUCCGCUUCGGCUGUUCACCCGACGGACGACCCGCGUGAGGGAGGAAAACAUGUGACGUAGCACUGGUGCCCAAGGGCAGCAUGGGGAAUGCAGUGCUAAUGAAAAGACAACCACUUCCUGUAUUUUAUAUUUUCGUAUAUUUCUCAGUAUAUAUUUUUAAACUUUAUCGUGGGUUUUUUGUCUUAUCAUUGUUAUUCUAUUUUUUUUUUUUUUUUUUAAUCUAAAUAACGUUCCUGUUUUUCUUUUCAGGAAUGGUAGUGCAUAGUGAAUGUAUUAUUAUGGAGCCAUUACUUAUAGAUUUUUUUCAGUCUUUGGCGCCUCACAGUGGUAGCAUUAAACAAGACACUGUGGAAGACAAGGCACAUCACCUAUGUCAUCAGAACAACUUAAAAGAUUAAAUAAAAUAAUACAAAAUAUAGUGGCUUUAAUGUAAUAAGGGCUAAAACCAGCAGUUUGAAUAAAGUGUUUUGGUGUUUUA
Toxotes jaculatrix (banded archerfish) is the source of this 4296-nucleotide long non-coding RNA. RefSeq lists it as uncharacterized. The record is from RefSeq and is a predicted model, not a curated record. NCBI's taxonomy places the organism in Eukaryota, Metazoa, Chordata, Actinopteri, Toxotidae. The transcript is spliced from 3 exons.